GGGAAUUUCCCUCCGCUCCGGGAAGCGCGGGCCGUUCCCUUGGCUGCCUUCCCAAAGGCAGAACGCGGGCCGCGGGCCGCCCCGUCCUCGAGGCGCCUCAGGGCUUCAGGGUCCUGGGUGGGCCGAGCAGGUACAAGGGGGACAGGCAGGGGUAGCCCUAGAGGACCGCGACGGGGAGAGAAUGGAUACGUUCCGCUCUGCCCGGUCUCCAGCGGCCAGGAACCGCAGGCAGGAGUGAUGUCCCCAAGGCGCCUUCAGCUCUGGUGCCAUGGCCCCGGGUUCCUGUGUCUCCUGGCCUGGCUGGGAGCAGGGACGGUCGCUCUGGCCGCCAAGGCAAACGGGGUGAGGAGGUGCCCGCUGCCUGCAGCGGGGCUCGGGGGCCAGGCCGUAACCAGCCUGGUGCAGUGCCACAUUCCCGCAGGCACUGUCUGAGGAAGUCCUUCUCAGAAACCACGUCAAGUAAGGCUACGGCUCGCAAAACAAACUCUUCACUCCCCAAAAUCACAUAAAGCAGGAAGGGAGACCAGGAGCUGACCAUGUUUCUGUUGCGAGUCCCCAUGGCGCCAUUCAGAUAGAGUCUCUGCACCUGGCUAAAAGACAUGAACAAACUGACCGAGUGUGACCAAUGUACUCAACUCCUUAACCAAACUAAGGGUGACACUACUGUUCCUACCUGUCUCUGUUUGCUGUUUCCUCAGAAGCAGAACAUUGUUUAUUUAAGAUCUACCUGAGAUGUUCUGUAAGUCACAGAUCAUUUUUAUCUUGUCAGUUCUUCUCUUUCCUUGUUUAAUUAUUUCUGCUUAACACUACAACACUGCUCUUUCCCUUUUGACACACCAUUUCUCUAACUUGUUAAGGUGCUUUUGAAUCUUAAUCUUGUUUUCUGAUAUGAUUGUGAUGCCUCAUAGCUUCAUGCCAUUUGGAAAUCCUGGGCAUCUUCUGUUUUAUCAGACAGUUUGUUGGCUGUGUACAGCCCAGACAGAUGUUUUUAACUCCACUAUUGUUUCAGUUUAGCUGCA
Molecule: long non-coding RNA, 1019 nt
Organism: Corvus hawaiiensis (hawaiian crow)
Lineage: Eukaryota; Metazoa; Chordata; Aves; Passeriformes; Corvidae
Exons: 3
Source: RefSeq, a predicted model, not a curated record